Long non-coding RNA from Rhagoletis zephyria (snowberry fruit fly), 503 nucleotides. RefSeq lists it as uncharacterized. NCBI's taxonomy places the organism in Eukaryota, Metazoa, Arthropoda, Insecta, Diptera, Tephritidae. The record is from RefSeq and is a predicted model, not a curated record.
CGCUUUCUGUCCACAACCUGUCAUAAGUUGUGGCGCUGAUGGCGAUUGUAGGCUCGUCGGGGCUUUGUGGGUAGCGCUAGAAACGUCAUCAGCGAGAGCCCUCCCAUACAAACGAAAUUUCCGUGUGCACAGUGAUAAAAAGCAAUUGAAUUUGCUAGGCAACUGAUUAGCCAGGCGGCAGCUGUACAUACAUACAAACAUAUGUACACAAGUAUAGCCAGAAAGUGAGUAGCAGAGCGAGUGAGUGAGUUAACUAGUGAGCGCGUAUGUAGUGUCAAUGGUCAUUGCUGAAAUCAGCGAAAGCAGACAAAGCACCACGCAGUGGGCAAAAGAAAAUAUGUACGAAUAGACUGCAGCUGCUGAAAGACAUUUCAAACGUCAAUAAGGCUAAAUAAAGAACUGCAUAAAUAGCAAGUGAGUUAACAAACGCAAAAAUUUUCUUUGUACAGUGCCUCAAGAAAGAAAUCGAACAAAGCAUGAGUUUAAAAAAACCCAGCAAUGUG